This is a long non-coding RNA of Physeter macrocephalus (sperm whale), 514 nucleotides long. RefSeq lists it as uncharacterized. The record is from RefSeq and is a predicted model, not a curated record. Lineage: Eukaryota; Metazoa; Chordata; Mammalia; Artiodactyla; Physeteridae. The transcript is spliced from 4 exons.
CGGAGGAGGGGAAGCACAAGAGAUGCAGUCAGCAAGGGGACCUCAGCCCAGCCCAGCCCAGCCUCAGACUCCUCGUGACACCAGGCCUGGUGUUCAGGCGCCUCCACAGACCCUGGACCUCAGAAGUCACGUCCUCGUCGGAAAGAAUGAGAUGCCCGGCCACCCCAGACCGCCAUUCUGCAAGGACAAGUAUCCCACCCCUCCAUCUUCUCCCCGGAGCUCAAGGAUUUUUGCAGAAUGAGGAAGCGGCCCUCACAGGUGACAAGGCUGGUCUCCAACUACCACUCGGAUGUCCUCCAGCCGCCCGGUCAGAAGCUUGGAGCCGUGCAGGAGCCCGCAAGCCACAACUACUGAGCGCACAUGCCACAACUACUGAAGCCCACGCGCCUAGAGCCCGAGCUCCGCAACAAGAGAAGCCACCGCAAUGAGAAGCCCACGCACCGCAACAAAGAGUAGCCCCCCGCUCGCCGCAACUAGAGAAAGCCUGCGCGUAGCAACAAAGACCCAAUGCGGC